Molecule: ribosomal RNA, 427 nt
Filed under: uncultured archaeon
Lineage: Archaea
Description: bacterial SSU rRNA
Rfam family: Archaeal small subunit ribosomal RNA
Source: RNAcentral
UUAAGCCAUGCGAGUCGAACGAGUUUAGGCUCGUGGCGUACGGCCCAGUAACACGUGGAUAACCUACCCUUAGGACCGGGAUAACCUUGGGAAACUGAGGAUAAUACUGGAUAGGCAAUUAUUUCUGCAAUGGUUUUUUGUUUAAAUGUUUUUUCGCCUAAGGAUGGGUCUGCGGCCGAUUAGGUAGUUGGUUAGGUAAAGACUUACCAAGCCGUUGAUCGGUACGGGUUGUGAGAGCAAGAGCCCGGAGAUGGAACCUGAGACAAGGUUCCAGGCCCUACGGGGUGCAGCAGGCGCGAAACCUCCGCAAUGUGAGAAAUCGCGACGGGGGGAUCCCAAGUGCCAUUCUUAACGGGAUGGCUUUUCAUUAGUGUAAAGAGCUUUUGGAAUAAGGGCUGGGCAAGACCGGUGCCAGCCGCCGCGGUAA